This 492-nucleotide ribosomal RNA is filed under the name uncultured bacterium. RNAcentral's name for it is "partial 16S ribosomal RNA". It matches the Rfam family "Bacterial small subunit ribosomal RNA", at positions 29 to 507 of the family's 1533-position model. The record is from RNAcentral.
AAUGAACGCUGGCGGCAUGCCUAACACAUGCAAGUCGAACGACAGCACAGUGAGAGCGUGCCUUUAACGUUGGCGAGGGGCGGACGAGUGACGAAUGCAUCAGCAUCUACUUUUUCUUGGAUAAUAACGGAAGACAGCUGACACUAAUAGCUCAUACGUCCUACGGGUUGAAUCAGGGGUUCUUCGCGGCUUUCGUGAUUGAUUGAGCCGAUGUCGGAUUAGCUUGUUGUGAGGGUAACGGCCCACCAAGGCUACGAUGCGUAGCUGAGCUGAGAGGAUGAUCAGCCACACUGGAACUGAGACACGGUCCAGACUCCUACGGGAGGCAGCAGUAGGGAAUCUUGCGCAAUGGGCGAAAGCCUGACGGAGCAAUGCCGCGUGAGUGAAGAAGGUCUUCGGAUCGUAAAACUCUGUUAUUAGGGAAGAAAAAAUGUGUAAGAAACUAUGGACGUCUUGACGGUACCUAAACAGAAAGCCACGGCUAACUACGUG